This 2404-nucleotide ribosomal RNA is filed under the name Candidatus Liptonbacteria bacterium. Its description in RNAcentral is "partial 23S ribosomal RNA". It matches the Rfam family "Bacterial large subunit ribosomal RNA", at positions 2029 to 2924 of the family's 2925-position model. The record is from RNAcentral. Lineage: Bacteria; Candidatus Liptoniibacteriota.
GAGCUCGGUGAAAAUGCGAUUCCCGUGAAGACGCGGGAUACCUGCAGCGGGACGAAAAGACCCCGGAAGCUUUACUGCAGCUUGGUAUUGGCUUUAAGGUCUUAAUACGUAGCGUAGUGGGGAGCCUUUGAAGCAUUUCUUUCGGGAGAUGUGGAGGCGCCAAUGAAACACCCAUUUUUAAGAUUUUAAAUUCUAACCCCGACGGCAAAAACGUCGAGGGACAGUGCUUGGCAGGCAGUUUCAAUGGGGCGUUGUCCUCCUAAAGAGUAACGGAGGAGUCUAUUAAGGUCGGCUUAGCCCGGAUGGAAACCGGGCCGGACGCGUAAAGGCAAAAGCCGGCUUAACUGCAAGACCUACAAGUCGCGCAGAUGCGAAAGCAGAGCUUAGUGACCCGACCAUUCUUUAUAGAAAGGUGGGAGACAUCGGAUAAAAGCUACUCCGGGGAUAACAGGCUAGUUUCGUCCGAGCGUCCAUAGCGACGACGAAGCUCGGCACCUUAAUUAAUAUCGGGGUGCUACGACAGUAAUGUCGUACCAUUUAUCUCUUGAAUAUAAAUACAGAGAAAGAAAACAAAAAAUUGGCUUAUAACGGAGAACUCCGUGUAAUAGGAUAGAGCUAUUAUGCGGACAACCCCGUGGGAAGUUUGACUCGAUGAAUAAUUGAGUUAUAACCCCGUAGAGACUGAAGUCGAAAGACUGAGAGUUGUCCAUUACCUAUAUGGACGGCUAACACGCCAACACCCCACCGAUUUAUGUGUCCGCUUAACGCGGGCGCAGCAAGUCGAAGGGUGAAGAUAUAGUCCGAACCUCUUCGUAAGAAGAGAAAAAUAUGACAGCGAUGUCGGCUCGCCCUAGCGCGGGGGUGUAGAAGCUCCCAAGCGUUUGGCUGUUCGCCAAUUAAAAGGGCACGUGAGCUGGGUUCAGACCGUCAAAAUAACUGAACCGAGGACAUCAAACACGGCGGCUUUCCGCAGUGAUGCGGAUCGAAUAAAUUGACUCAUAUCGGUGAAGUCCUAGCAUGGCAACCUGUCAUAUGUUAGGAUAAUACCGAGGGAAGUUGUGUAUGAAAAAUCUUUCAUCAACACAGAAAGCUUAUAUCGCGGGGUUUUUAGACGGAGACGGGAGUAUUUAUGUGCGCAUGAAACCCAAUACGGGAUACCGUUAUGGAUUUCAGAUAGCGCCGUACAUAGUACUAUUCCAAUCCUCUAAAGAUCGAAAGAAAUUCGAAAAGAUUUGUUCUCUGAUUAAUAUUGGAUAUAUUCGCGAACGCAAAGAUGGCAUUCUUGAAUAUACUAUUGGCAGAGAAGAAGCAAUACGAACAUUUCUUAAAUGCGUAAAACCUUUCUUAAUUCUUAAAAGAGAACAGGCGGAUCUUAUGAUCCGAAUUCUCAAUGCUAAAGCGAGAGUUAAGGAAAGAAAUGACUUUUUGGUGUUGGCGGAAUUGAUAGAUAAUUUUCGGACACUUAAUUAUUCAAAGAAACGAAAACGACAUACAUUAACCCCGUAGAGACUUCUCCGACGUAACGUCGGAGGGAAUCCACAAUAAAUUUGUGGGUUAACACGUCGGUCUCCCCGAUGGACAUCGGGGAGGUGGUAUAGUCCAACCCACUAGUAAUAGUGGAAAACGAUUUGCUCUUGGCAAUUUGCCAUUUGCAAUCUAAUUGCGUGAGACAGGUCGGUCUCUAUCUGCUGCAGGCGUUGAUACUUGAGGGGAGUUGGCCUUAGUAAAAUUUUGCUACUUCGCGGAGUAAUCCGCGAUGACAAUUUGGCUAAUAACGGUGGAGGCUUGUGCGUGCAAAGCGCGUUGAAGUCCAACGCAUUUGAUUAAACGCCCACAAGUUCAUACCGUGGGAAGUUGUUCGGUGCAUAAUUUCAAAAAAUAUGUACUGGAUUGACCCCGUAACGACUGGAACCGUAACGCAUAAUUUUAUGUUAUGCGCUCGGUGAAGAUGGCAAUUUUAGGUUGCCAUAAUACGCCGACACCCCACUUUCAAAAAUGAAAAGGGUGAAGAUAUAGUCUACGCACAUAGUGAUAUGUGAAUACGUGACGAGAGGACUUGGCUGAACGGACCUCUGGUGUACCGGCUUUGGUACCAACUGAAGCGCCGGGUAGCUAUGUUCGGAAGGGAUAAGCGCUGAAAGCAUCUAAGCGCGAAGCCUACCCCGAGAUUAGGUAUCUGUCAGUGCGAAGCACUGACCGCAGAACAACGCGGAACAAACGCAGAAGGUCGCGGAAGUUAUUUAAAUAAUUUUCCGCGUAAUUCAGCGUCAAGUCCGCGCAAGUCCGCGGCCAUUGCUUCGCAUUGGCAAAGGUUUCGUGGGAGAUUACCACGUUGAUAGGCCACAGGUGUAAGGCCAGUAAUGGUUUGAGCCGAGUGGUACUAAUAACCGUUAAUGCUUCUUUG